This is a long non-coding RNA of Ctenopharyngodon idella (grass carp), 1016 nucleotides long. RefSeq lists it as uncharacterized. The record is from RefSeq and is a predicted model, not a curated record. NCBI's taxonomy places the organism in Eukaryota, Metazoa, Chordata, Actinopteri, Cypriniformes, Xenocyprididae. The transcript is spliced from 2 exons.
GGGAGUAUAAAUAGAGGAGCUGCAGCCAGUGCAAAUCAGACUCGCUCUGCACAGAGAGAUCUACAGCACAGAGAUCCAGACAUGACACCUCCAAUCAUCUCAAAGGAGCAUCUCCCUCUCAUCAACAAGCUGAGAAAGCCAAUAGUGGAGAAGAUGAAGGUCUCAACAGCUCAAGUGUCUUCUGGCUCCAGAGUUCGUCAAGCAGCAGCAGCCUGAUUCCAAGCUGGAGAAAGCAGAUAUCCUGGGGUUCCUCCAUCCAUCAGCUGCAUCAGCAAAGGCAUUGAUUUAUCCUGUAGCGCCCUCUGGAGGAAGCCAAGUCUAUAUUAGACACCAAGGAUGUGGACCACAUUUUGGUUCUUUCUGAUAUGCAAAGACUGUUAAUCUGAGUCAGAUUUUAUCAUACACAUCUAUGUUAGAUGUCAUUAACAAUAUUACUGGAUUUGAUUUUAUUUUGUUUCCAUCACUGGAAAUGUUUUGUGUAUUGUUGAAUACAUUCAUAUACACCUUCUAUGAAGGCAAAUUACAUUUUCACCAUGAAAUGGUAAAUCUUUGCUUUAUGUGAAGUACAAAUAUCCCAUAUUGGGAACUGUUUUUGAACAUUUUAUCAGUAUGAUAAACAAUCUGUUGUCCUCAUAGGACAUCAUAGAAUCACAUAUAAAAGUGGUUCAGUGUGUUUUUCUGCCAUAUAAACUCACUUCUGUUGAGUGUGACACCUGUGGAUGAUAUAUUUUCCUUUAGUGGAAUGUCUUAACUGUUAAGUAUCUUCACAUUUAAGCACUAACAGUUUCUGUCAUGCUUUAAUAUGACCCCUCAUGUGGAGGAAUGUUAAUAAUGAUUUGUGGUAAAUCAUUUGUCACAUGACUUUUGUAAAGUUUGUUGAUAUUUGAUGUGAGUUCCAAUAUGCUUUUAAUGUGUUUUGGAGAUCUCUUCAUGCAAAUGCUGUGAUAUGUUAUCACCUAUUUAUUUGCAUUCAUGAUGACAUCACUAAAUAAUAAAAAUAAAAAAAGUCAAAUGUG